Molecule: ribosomal RNA, 354 nt
Filed under: Triticum aestivum (bread wheat)
Lineage: Eukaryota; Viridiplantae; Streptophyta; Magnoliopsida; Poales; Poaceae
Description: partial small subunit ribosomal RNA
Source: RNAcentral
AUGGUGUCACCCUUUCUUUGCUAUAAUCAUAUCUUUCUUCCUGAGUUUUGCAUCUUCCUGUUAUUCCUUUACCAUGCUCUGGUUUACUUGAGCAUUCCUGAGUAUUGGUAUUCUAUUGAUUUGAUCCAUUGUGAUGUUCUUGGGACAGUCUGGAUACUUGUUACGCUCAGUGCAGACAUCACUAGAUAUUUUAUUUUUGCUAGUUUAAGUUUUGAAACAUUCUGGCAUUUUGUAAUGCUGGCAAUGCGGUAUCUACAGUUAAGAAUGCAAAUGCAGCAGUACAUAUUUGAUGAAACCUCUCAUCUCAUUUGUUUUUCAUAUGGAAGGAGCAAUUACCCUUUUUUUUCUGUUUAA